Molecule: unclassified non-coding RNA, 152 nt
Filed under: soil metagenome
Description: partial internal transcribed spacer 1
Source: RNAcentral
CAGAGUUAUAAAACUCCUCAACCCUUGUGAACAUACCUUAAACGUUGCUUCGGCGGGAAUGGCCGGCCCUAACAACGGGCCGCACCCCGCCAGAGGUAUACCUAACUCUUGUAUUUAUAAUGUUUUCUCUGAGUUAAAGCUUAAAUAAUUCA